RNAcentral lists this unclassified non-coding RNA (189 nucleotides) under uncultured bacterium. RNAcentral's name for it is "16S-23S ribosomal RNA intergenic spacer". The record is from RNAcentral.
AACGAUAUUUCGGUUUUAAACGCCCACACGAGUAAUCAAAUAUGAAUAAAGAACAUACUGAUAUGUAAAAUUUUUGGUAUGUAAUUUUCUAGUAUGUACAUUUAUGUACAUAUAAGAUCACUGCAAUUUAAUUAGAAAAGUAAUUAAUAUAUUUUAUUAAGUACUCUCAAAAAGCGAAAUAACCUUUUU